CUGCAAGAUGCCACAGACUGGGUGGCUUAAACAAUAAAAGUUUAUUUCCCCAGUUCCGGUUCAGAGAGCCUGCAAGUCCGAGGUCAAGGCGCCAACAAGGCUUGGUUGCUCUGAGGCCUCUCUCGGGGGCUUGCAAGUGGGGCCUCUUAUGUUUGACCGUCUGGGCACCAGCACACCUGGUCUCAGUGUCCAGAUCUCCCCCCCUGCUAAAGCCACCAGUCACGCUGGAUGGGUCCACAGGCCACAUUUCACCUUAACUGCCUCCAUCAAGUCUAGCUCCACACACAUGCACGUUCUGAGGUCCUGGGCGCUAGAACCACAGCGUGUGGAUUUUAGGGGUCACAACACCACCCAUAACUAGGAGACCCUGGCCUGGCCUGUGGUCUACCGAGUGAGCGGAGGCGGUCCCUUGGGGCCCCACCAGUGUUUUGCAUUUGACUCUGGGGCCUCCCCCACGGAGGAGGUGAGGGUUGGGGGCAGGGGCACCUGCGUCCUCUCUGGGCGCCCCCUUGGCUGUGGGACUGUACGAGCUGACACAUGGCAUUCAAGGACCCUAUGUGAGUGAGUGAAGAGGGCAGAAGGGGCCCAGCCCAGGGAGGCCCCAGGCAGAGGUCCCACGGCGGGGCUGGGAUUUCUGAGUCCCUGCCCACCGGCUGGUCCCUGCCACAGCUCUUCACCGUCGUUGCCGUUGCUCAGUCCCUCAGUCUUGUCCAACUCCUUGCGACCCCACAGACUGUAGCACACCAGGCUUCUCUGUCCUCCACUGUCUCCCAGAGUUUGCUCAAAUUCAUAUCCAUUGAGCUGGUGAUGCAGUCCAACCAUCUCAUCCUCUGUCGUCCCCUUCUCCUCCUGCCUUCAAUCUUUUCCAGCAUCAGGGUCUUGUCCAAUGAGUCAGUUCUUGGCAUCAGGUAGCCAAAGUACUGGAGCUUCAGCUUCAGCAUCAGUCCUUCCAAUGAAUAUUCAGAGUUGAUCUCCUGAUUACUCUUCAGGGCAGCGCUGUGAUACCACCCCCGCCCGGCACUGGCGCAAGAUUUCCAGAGAGGUUUCAUAUCCACGUUUCCAGAGUCUCAGAGCGGCAGCCGAGGGAGGGAGAGGGCAGGGCAGGCCUUGCCGGGAGAUCAGGUGCCGCGUGCCCAAGGGAGGGGCCAGAACCCACCCCCACCCUCUGCCGUGUCCUGGCUCCUGACUCCCUGCCCCAGGCUGAACGGGGGCUGGACUCCAGCAGGAGUGAGUCACAGGAAGCUGGCAGGACAAGACCAGUACGUGUGGCUCCCUGGUGCCAGGCACGGGCAGCAAGGCUGCAUGCCCGCCAUUCUGCCAUCUGAGGGAAGACAUGUGCAAGAGAAGCCAAGGAGAGCUGGGGCGGGCGGGGAGGGGCGGCGCACAGGUGGCUCAGGCCCCUGGAGCCAGAUCUGUCACUUGGGAGCCUGCUGCUCUGAGCAGCAGCUUCUUCAGUGAUGAGUCUGGGACAAACACGGGCACCCUUAUUACGUGCCCCAG
Long non-coding RNA from Bos taurus (domestic cattle), 1500 nucleotides. Lineage: Eukaryota; Metazoa; Chordata; Mammalia; Artiodactyla; Bovidae. The record is from Ensembl.